RNAcentral lists this long non-coding RNA (1917 nucleotides) under Sus scrofa (pig). Its description in RNAcentral is "lncRNA (ENSSSCG00025023560.1)". Lineage: Eukaryota; Metazoa; Chordata; Mammalia; Artiodactyla; Suidae. The record is from RNAcentral.
AAAAAAAAAAAAAAAAAAAAAAGAAAGAAAAUAGGGAAAGAUGUCCACUAAAAUUCUCCCAUAGACAUCGGACCUUCCACAGACACCUGGUCUCUGCCGAACACAGUUUAAUUCAAAUAUUCACUAACACCUGAAAAAAAAAUGCAGAUGUAUUUUCUAAUGUCCAAUUGUACCCAAGCAUAACUAUGAACAUCCAUUGAGGAAAGGGCCCAGGCUUCUGAAGACCGAAUGUGACGACCGGCAGGUGCCCUGUUCCUUUCCCAGGAGCCUUUCUGGGAACACGUGAGCCCGCAGUUUGGCUCUGCUGUAUUUUGGUCCUGUAGUCUGGCUGAUUCCAAACAUUAGCAUGUCAGAACUACUAGGGAAGAGGGGGUUAACGACCUGGCCUUCCUAGGAAGAGGUAAUUAUUUUAAAUCAUUUGAUGGAAAAAAAUAAGCAAAUCUGCUGGUUGGGCUACUGCUUGUAUUUGUCCAUCUUGAGUUUGAUCAGCAGGUCACUGCUCAGCAAUAAUUAACUAUCUUCAUAGUAACACACCAGCGGCUAAAACCGGGUUAUAAGAGUUUGGAAAUAUUUUACUGAGUUACUUUGGAUUUGAAAUAAAAGCAACGACGCAGUUUAGAAAGCAAGGAAUAAGUAAAGAAUAAAUUUCACCCAAACCAACUGUGAACAUUAAAACUUAGUCUAUGAAUGCGCCUCCUAGGAAGUCUUCAUCUUUGUCCCAAAGCUGUCUAUUAAAAAGACAGGCAUGUAGCCCACAGGCAGGAAGAGAAAGUCCAUCCCCACCGAGCAAGGAAGUAAAAGGCAGUGACCCGAUGUGGAGUAAGAACCUAGAAAGCCACCUGUAUCACUCACACCUACUACCGCUCGCGAGUCUAGGAAAGACGCCUCUACUUUAUUUUUCCUUCCUACCACAGUGAGUUGAAAGGUAAUGACGGCUCCACCUGCUGAACGCUCGGAUGCUGAGGAGAAGCCGUAACCGUGGAUGUGGGCGCCUCUCCCGCUAUCACAACCAUGUCUAAGUAGGGUUGCACUUUCACAGCUUUCAGAGGAGGUUAGAACUCAGCUGCGGUUGGGGCUGAAUCCCUAUGCCUGACCGAGUGCCUACGGCGCUCAGACAUAAAAGCAGACCCAUGAUUUGCGCAGCGCUUGGAACUGAAAAGGCUGGGCUCCAGGACAUACAGACUUGGUCCCCAGGCCUGAGGUGCCUGGUGGGAGACUGGGCACGUGGUGUCAUGGAUACUUGAGAGGAAGCCCCACGAGAUCCUGGUCAACUGCAGCCGUCCAGCGUAGGGACGUGGGUAUAUCAACCGGAUGCAGCCACGUGCGGAUUCUGGAUGAAGGUCAGUGGGGCCUGUUACUGGGCGUUGCUAACAGGUGCCAGGCGAUGUGAAGGCUGCCUGCCCAAAGAUCGCAGACAGCCCUGCCGUCUCCCCAUACCAUGUGUCAGGACAUCUAGUUCAAGGCCUGGGGGCCCUGUGGGUGCCCUGGGACCUCCCUCCGCCUUGAUUCCUCACUUGCACGCAGGAGUGGCCAUACUCACCACCCAGGCAUGACGUCAACACUCAGCUGAGAUAGGGCGUGACGUCGGAAUCACAGAGAACAGAAACACAGCACGUCCUUAAUAGGUACUAAAAUUCUUCCCAUUUUUCAAAUUGCUUUGAAAAAACAAACUGCUUUGCUAUCCAGAGAGGACGGCCAGAAAAACAGCAUAAUUCCUGCUCUGCUCUUUGAGCGUUUACUCACACGUGUGUUUAUUUUUUCCCAUAAUAAUGCACAGGAAAUACAUUACAUCUUCCAAGUGCUGGCCGAUUCUGUUUAUGUUUGUUUGCACACUGAGUCCCUGAUGGACAGAGGUCGUCGGGAGGCCUCCGUGCUCCGGGGCCCAGUGAAUGCUGGGUUACCGGGACAGCCCUUUCC